GGGUGCUUGCACCUGGUGGCGAGUGGCGAACGGGUGAGUAAUACAUCGGAACAUGUCCUGUAGUGGGGGAUAGCCCGGCGAAAGCCGGAUUAAUACCGCAUACGAUCUACGGAUGAAAGCGGGGGACCUUCGGGCCUCGCGCUAUAGGGUUGGCCGAUGGCUGAUUAGCUAGUUGGUGGGGUAAAGGCCUACCAAGGCGACGAUCGGCAGCUGGUCUGAGAGGACGACCAGUCACACUGGGACUGAGACACGGCCCAGACUCCUACGGGAGGCAGCAGUGAGGAAUUUUGGACAAUGGGCGAAAGCCUGAUCCAGCAAUGCCGCGUGUGUGAAGAAGGCCUUCGGGUUGUAAAGCACUUUUGUCCGGAAAGAAAUCCUUGGUUCUAAUAUAGCCGGGGGAUGACGGUACCGGAAGAAUAAGCACCGGCUAACUACGUGCCAGCAGCCGCGGUAAUACGUAGGGUGCGAGCGUUAAUCGGAAUUACUGGGCGUAAAGCGUGCGCAGGCGGUUUGCUAAGACCGAUGUGAAAUCCCCGGGCUCAACCUGGGAACUGCAUUGGUGACUGGCAGGCUAGAGUAUGGCAGAGGGGGGUAGAAUUCCACGUGUAGCAGUGAAAUGCGUAGAGAUGUGGAGGAAUACCGAUGGCGAAGGCAGCCCCCUGGGCCAAUACUGACG
This 676-nucleotide ribosomal RNA is filed under the name uncultured beta proteobacterium. RNAcentral describes it as "bacterial SSU rRNA". It matches the Rfam family "Bacterial small subunit ribosomal RNA", at positions 74 to 745 of the family's 1533-position model. The record is from RNAcentral. Lineage: Bacteria; Pseudomonadati; Pseudomonadota; Betaproteobacteria.